CCUACGGGAGGCAGCAGUGGGGAAUAUUGCACAAUGGGGGAAACCCUGAUGCAGCGACGUCGCGUGAGUGAUGAAGUAUUUCGGUAUGUAAAGCUCUAUCAGCAGGGAAGAAAAUGACGGUACCUGACUAAGAAGCCCCGGCUAACUACGUGCCAGCAGCCGCGGUAAUACGUAGGGGGCAAGCGUUAUCCGGAUUUACUGGGUGUAAAGGGAGCGUAGACGGCGGUGCAAGCCAGGUGUGAAAGCCCGGGGCACAACCCCGGGACUGCAUUUGGAACUGUGCUGCUAGAGUGUCGGAGAGGCAGGCGGAAUUCCUAGUGUAGAGGUGAAAUGCGUAGAUAUUAGGAGGAACACCAGUGGCGAAGGCGGCCUGCUGGACGAUGACUGACGUUGGGGCUCGAAAGCGUGGGGAGCAAACAGGAUUAGAUACACCUGUAGUC
RNAcentral lists this ribosomal RNA (440 nucleotides) under uncultured bacterium. RNAcentral describes it as "partial 16S ribosomal RNA". It matches the Rfam family "Bacterial small subunit ribosomal RNA", at positions 338 to 795 of the family's 1533-position model. The record is from RNAcentral.